CAUUAGAUAACUUAAAGAAAGUGAUGGUCUCUUAAACCAAUUAAUAGUAAUGUAACGUCUACUUCUAAUGA
RNAcentral lists this transfer RNA (71 nucleotides) under Cucujoidea sp. 20 KM-2017. RNAcentral's name for it is "tRNA-Lys". It matches the Rfam family "tRNA". Rfam says of the family: Transfer RNA (tRNA) molecules are approximately 80 nucleotides in length. Their secondary structure includes four short double-helical elements and three loops (D, anti-codon, and T loops). The record is from RNAcentral. Lineage: Eukaryota; Metazoa; Arthropoda; Insecta; Coleoptera.